UACGUAGGUGACCAGCGUUGUCCGGAUUUACUGGGCGUAAAGAGCGCGCAGGCGGUCGUUCAAGUCGAGUGUGAAAGCCCCCGGCUCAACUGGGGAGGGUCAUUCGAUACUGAUCGACUUGAAGGCAGGAGAGGGAAGUGGAAUUCCCGGUGUAGUGGUGAAAUGCGUAGAGAUGCGGAGGAACACCGAUGGCGAAGGCAGCCCCCUGGGCUAGCACUGACGCUCAGGCACGAAAGCGUGGGGAGCAAACAGG
RNAcentral lists this ribosomal RNA (253 nucleotides) under uncultured bacterium. Its description in RNAcentral is "partial 16S ribosomal RNA". It matches the Rfam family "Bacterial small subunit ribosomal RNA", at positions 524 to 776 of the family's 1533-position model. The record is from RNAcentral.